GGAUUGGGUCAUGUAUUGCUGUUCUUAUGGCAUCUCUGGCAGAAACAAAUUUACAUUAUCUCAGAGCUGAGAUCCCAGUCUAUCAAGAACUUUCACUGACCCUGCUAGACACUAAGGAAAAAUCCAUCAAGAGGACAGUGAAGAAUGAAGCAUAUGUGGCAGUAAUGGUAGCUGAGGCAAGGACCUGCUCCUCUCUAUGACAAAGGCUGCUCUUUGUGAUUCUUCAUCCCAGAGAUUUGGCAUCCUUACCAAUUCUACCUAUGUUUUCUGCUGGUAUGUGGGCACAUGGAGAUGAUAUUUUAUUGUUACUGGAAGGUAAUAAUUCCUCAGUGAUAAAUUCUUGUUAAACUGGUUUCCAGGAAAGCGAAAAAAUCGAAAUACUUGAAGAAAACUAGACUUCAUAAAUUGCACACACACACACACACACACACACACACACACACACACACACACACACACACACACAAAUAAUUCAGGAAGGCCUGAGACCCAGUUCUCACCUUCAUUCUUUGUCAUUUUUGAUGGACUGGUUUUCUAUUCAUCCAUUCAUUCCCAUCUACAGCUAACAAAUAAUUUUUGGUUUUCAAAACCAACACUGGACAGCAAGAGCAAUUAUAGUUGCAUUGAAGAGACUUGAUUCUGUCCACUUAAAGCUGAAAUAGAUGGUUUCAGAAGCGGAGUUACCUAGCCAGAUUUAGAGGUCAGCAGUGUAAAGGGUUGAAAUAAUUCUUUUCCAGGUAGCAGAGAAAUGUCAGCCAGUCUAUAGUUAGAUGUGAUCUCGAGUAGUAUUAAUAAUUCUAUCAGUUCUUCCUCUCUUCUCAUUUUUCUGCUCCCCAAACAUACUUACAUUUGUUCAGUGGCGAAAAUGAGCAGCAUUCACAGAUAAGAGUAGAAAGUUAAUUUUUUGUUUUACAAACUUAGUAGUUUUGAACCAUUUACAGAAAGGGAUAGAGUCUCUGUGUUCCAGUGAGAUAUGAAGUAACUGCUUGCAACACAUCCUCAGUUACUGAAAUUGAAAUUAUGACAUUUUUUCUGCCUAGAGACCUUGAGAAAUUUACCUGGCACUGUUUUUUCUUUAAUUUUCUUUUUUAAAAUUAUUAUUAUUUUUAUUACCGUACCAAACUUAUCUCAGUAAACCUUUUCAUCAUAUAGAAUAAAAUUAGUGCAUCAUCUUGGAAUUUAUGAGAAACUGCAUAUAAUGUUGCUUAUGAAAUCGUUAAUUCAGCAAAGGCCUCUUUUGCUCUCUUCAUCAGUGUUCUGCAAAAUACCCCUUUUCAGGCUGAUGUGUUUUGGUGAUAUGUCUGAUUAUGGUUUAUAUUGUUAUAUUUUGAUUUUAUGCCUUUUACACUAUUCUUAUCUAUCGUGUUCAGUGUAAAAUUAUUCUUUAGCAGUGUAAAGUUGCAAUAAGAUAAAAAAGUAGAAUGUAUAUGUAUAUAAAAGCAUAUAGCUUCUUAUAUAAGACAAUAUUUUAAACUUCUUCAAAUACAAGGAAACGAGCUUGUGUCAAAUAAAUGUUUUAUAGAAUUUAUUUAUUUUUUCAUGAUGGAUUGGCAAGAACUUUUUAUGUGCUUCAGAAACAGAUAGUUGGAAAAGGACCUCAAAGAGUCCAUUUUAACAAUUUAAAAUGAAAGACUUUUCUUGUCCAGCUCUUCAUGUGAACUCAAAUUAGCAUUCUGUGUUCAUCUUGAGCUUGGAUAGAUUUGAAGCCUUUCAUGUCUAAAACCACAUGAUCAAGGGCAAAAUCUUUUGCUAUCACUGGAAUCUGGAGGGGGAAACAAGACAUGCACACGUGGCUUUAUCACUUUGUGUUUUACUGCAGAGACCAUGAAAAAAAAUCUCCACUGUGUUAUAUUUAAUUAAAGCACACUGCCCCCUUUUGAAUUUCUUUUUAACAAAAAAUAAAUCCUUCUUCAUUAGAGAUGUAGAGACCUAUGGUAUGUAGUCUCUUACCACAAUGCUAGUUUUAACUGUACUUUAAACAGCUUACAAAUGACAGAUUCUAUAGAAAAUAAUUUGAUAGCGCCAUCAUUAAUUCUAUUGAAGAAUCUUAGAGCUGAGUCUAAGAAUCAUGCCUGAAUAUUGUCCUUCAUGAAAUAUUAUCUCCUGGAUUUUCACCAGCAGGCAAAAUCUAUAGGAAUUACAGUGCAACACAAUUGCAUCUUUUUUUUUUAGUUUCAUCCAGUGCUUCUCAUUUUUUGAAAUUCUUCACUGAAAUUUAUUUGAAGACAAAAGAAUUACCUACUUUAUUAAAUAUAUGCAGCCUAGCUGAUUACCUACAAAAAAUUAUGUGUAUAUUUGUCCUGAUGUUAAGGAAAUAUGGUCAUGACUACUUUGAAAGUUGUUUGAAUUUACAGAUCACUGUGCCUGUGUCUAAUUAAGGUGAAAUAGGAAAACUAAAAUUAAAAAAGGUGACAGAAGAAAGAAAACUGUAUUGUAGAAGCGAGAAAAAAUAUGGAGAAAUCAAAUAUGACAGUGAAUAAAGAAAGAGUGAAAAGACACAAAGAUAUACACUCUGGAAAGCAAAUUCUGAAGUCUAUGUGUGAGUAGUUCUGUGUACAGGCACAUAUAAAAGAAGUCAGGUCCUUCUAUCUUAAUAUGUACCCAUAAAAGAUUUAUUUUUAUGGAAAAAAAUAAAAACAAUGAUAAAAAGUUACCUGAAGCAUCCAUAUGUACAGAAUAAACUUGCACAGGCAACUCAGAUUUACAUUUGAAGGAAAAACAGAGCAGUAAACUGACAAAAUUUUGAGAAUGAAAUAUAUUUUUCAGACAUUUCAGAAGGUACACAUUAGGUAAUUCACACUUUACUGCAGAGAAAUGAUGCUUAGGAAUUGUAGCAAAAUUAGGAAGGCUUUCAACAAUUUCUGAUUUUUCUGCUGGUGUAAGUCAAGCACUGAAAAAAAUCUAGGCUAAAAUUUGGAGUAUCUUUUGAGCCAAUAUUGAAAAGUAAUUUCUCACUAGAAAGAAGGCACUUGGAUCUUUGACUUUGAUUUUUAUCCUUUUUACACUACUUGUCAAGUGACCAUGAUUGAGACCUGAAGUUAUUUUUGGAGAAAGCUAAUUGUAGCAUGACUGCUUGACAAAAGUGGAAAAAACACAUCUUAUUGCAUUCUGCAGGCAAUUAGAACAGAAACUAAUAACAAUUUUAAUCCUUCCAAAUGGAAAUAGCUUUACAUUCUUUGUAGAACUAAUUCUGAAUACGCAGUUGCAUUCAGAUUUUAAGUAAGACAAAUCAUUUUAAAAGAGUAAGAAUUUUAAAUAAAUGUACAUUAACUAAAGUAUGCACUUAUAAAAAUAUUUUCUAUGAAUUAUUCACUAACAAUAGGCUCCAGAUAGCUUGUUUACAGGGGUCUGACUGUUUCAAGGCAAAUCCACAGACCUCUCCUAACACCGUACUAACUGUAAUAUUGUCAACAACUAUUACUAACCAUAAUAGUGUCAGCAUCCACAGACAUUGUGAAUUUUCCUCUACCAGACUCUUUAUCUAUAGACACAAUUCUGUAAUUCAUGCUUUGAAAAAGACAUAGGGCUUUUGUGCAUUGUGCUUCAUUAAUCUUAUGUUGAACUUCACAACAAUUGUGAACUUUGCAAGGGUCAUUUUUUAUGAUAGCUAUUUCACAGUUCUGACCUGGUUUUUUAACCUUUGGAGUUCAUAUUUCAGAAAGAUCUGUGGGUGGAGAGGGGACCUGCAUGGAGUUGCACUGACUUUAGUGAUGCUCAGCUGAAGCUCAGUGUCACCACGGGUCUAAUUGCAAGUGCUUUUUAAAUAGGAAUGAACACAGGAGGAAUAAGUACAGCAGGAUGAUCUGCUUUAGAAAGUUCAAAUUUAAAGAUUUCCUCCCUCCCUUCCUUCAGUCAUAAGUGCUGUACAAUAAUCUCACAUUUUGAUAAUGAAAAUACAUAAAAACAAACAAAAUGAAGAAAAAAGGGAAUUGCUGCAUUUGGGGUCUCAGGAAGAAAACAAAGUUUGGAUAGGCAAACAGUGGUCUUCUGAGGGGGAGGUGGAUUUAUUUGUCCUUGCCACUUUUAGUUUCUCUCUCUAUUGAAAUGAAUACUGCAUUCCAGUUUUUCAUAUGUAUAUCUGCACAGGUUAAUUUCUUUACAGAUUUCUAUUAUUCAUGUAUGUGCAUUUUUAUUGUGAUCAUUGUUUCUAAAAAAAAAAAAAAAAAAACUACAUUAGAGAAAAUGUAGUAUUGCAUAGAAAGGCUGUUAUUUUUCAAGACCUUGCCAAGCAUAUAUAGCAGCUGAUGGAAUGUUGUUGCUUUUUGGAGAGAAUGUCUAAGUGAAGACUCACUAGGAAGAAGAGCAUGGGUAAACACUACUCAUUCUUUUACAUUGUUUAACUCUGUGAAGUGCUGUCUAGGAAAAGGCCAGCACAAAGACUGGAAAUGGUUAUAUUUGAAGCUGGAAGCUUAGGUUCAGAAGUCUUCAUGAGACUAAUAAGAUCCUUCAUAAAUCUCACUCCCACAAAGCAGAUGGAAACUACGACUGGCCAGGAGUAUUCUAUGUAGAAUAGGAUUCAGAGGAAUAUAUAAUGCUUUUGGUUAGAAGAGACCUUAGAAGGUUAGAAGAGUCUUAGUCUUAGUCUUUAGGUUAGAAGAGAUCAUCUAGUUCUAACCCUCAUGCCAUGGACAGGGGCACCUUUCACUAGAUCAGGUUGCCCCAAACCCCCUGAUUCACCUCUACUCCUCUGUUUACCACUUUCUAUCCAGCUCAGGUUGGACAUCAAGAGCAGGUUCUUAGCCAGAGGGUGGUUGGGCACUCGAAUUGGUCCCCAGGGCAGAGGUCAUGAUACCAAGCUUGCCAGAAUUCAAGAAGUGUCUGUACAAUGCUCUCAGUCAUAUGGUCUGAUUUUGGGUGGUUCUAUGUGGAGCCAGGAGUUGGACUCAAUGAUCCUUAUGGGUCCCUUCCAACUUGGGAUAUUCUGUGAUUCUAUGAAUCCUUAAAAGUCUGACUAUAUAACAUUGUACAAGUGAAAGAUAGAUGAAGAUAUAGAGUUUAGAUCUGUUAAUUUAUUAUCCUUGUUUCUGGCAGUUCCUUGGUAGCCACUGGGGGAAGAUGAGAUGGUAGACUUCACUGUUUACUGCCAUGCUUCUGCCUGGUACAGUGGGACACUUUUUUUUAUUACACAGUUUGAGCAUCGUUUCUUUUAGUUAAUCUGCCAAGGGCCUAGUGAUGAAUCAUUCUUGAAUGAAAGCUGUAUCAGAUGAAGACUGACAUUUGUAUAUUUUUAUCUUUGGAGUCUUGCCCUCAUUUCUCACAUUUGAUACAUACACAGAACUUCUUGGCUCACUGCAUCCAUGCCCAUCUGUUGUAGUGGCAUUAUGCCCAGCUUUCACAAGUUGGUCAGAUGGUUCUGUGUGAUAUAGAUGGUGAUAAUUCUAGGGUAACUGUCUCCCAGACACUGGAAUUCCUCCCUCUGGAAGACAAACUGAAGUAUCAGUAUUUCAGGGGUCACUGCAGUGCUUACACCCUUCAGCUUUAGUGUACCACGGAACAACUGAAAAUAGCAGACAGGGAGACAUAAACUUCUUGGGCACUAUGAUGCUGUACCCAAAGAUACUUGGAAAAAAGAUUCAGUGAUCCUAAUGAAGACUCUUAUUUUCAUAUAAUGGGGAAAGAAUUUCUGCAAACUGUGUUUCUGAACAACAUAUGUUUGUUGUUCUACAACAUCUACAACUAUCUAUAACAAUCUACAACUAUCAUUUAUGCCUCAGCAUUAUACAUCACCAUAGAGAUAAACUCCAACACGAGGACCACUGCAGUCUUAACAGGUUGUGAUGUUUGCAGGUAUAAUUCUUCAGACUAAUACAUUUUGUUUAAACAAACAAUAAUUGUCUCUUUGUUUAUGUGACAACUGGAGUGAAACCUCAUCUUCAAGAGAUGAAUAUAAUCACAGAGAAACAGCACAUCUGUAGGAUAUUUAUACUACCCAAGUUUUAUCCCUUUCUAUAAGGCUAUUAGAAAUGUUGCAAAAAUAGCAAAUCUCAUUGGCAUAACUGAGCAUUAGCUUGAAUUCUGAGACAGUUAAUGUAAUAUUCAAAAAAUGGAAGAUUUUUAUUGGAUGUUAGGGCAAAGAGCAUGAGAGCAAUAUUUCUCUUAUUUUUAUUAUAUAUAGUUUUCUUGCCUUUAUUAGUCAAAAUUCUAAGUUUUGAUCAACUACAGAUAUCUGCAAAAAAAACAAAGGACUGCACUAUCUCAUAGAUUUUAGGGAAAGAUGUGUUCUGACUGCCUAACUCUUAUAUGCAGGACUAAAUGAUUUGUGUUUCAAGACACAACCUGAAAUUUAGUUUCAAGUACCUCCGCCCUUCUAAUUUAUACAAACUAUGAAAUAAUAACGUGUCUAGCUUUCUUUCUAAGUUCUGUAGCAGGGUUAUGUGUAGCAAGGUCAUAGGGAAUAUGAGCAGGAUUUAGACCACUGUGAAACAGGUCAGUUUUACCUUACUAAUGAUGUGUGGAAAAGGGUAAAAGAAAUAUUUGAGAGCUCCUACAAAGUAAAGGAAGAUAGAAAUCAAGGAAUUUGUUAAAAUUAUAUGAAUGAAAAUGACACACAACAACAAUACUUACGCAAGUUUUUAAGUACAACAGAGUUUUCUCUUGCAAAAGCAGAUGUAAUCUGCAUGUGCAGAUUAUGUUGUGUCCUUUAUCAUGCUUCAAUCAGGAUGAGGAUUGACUUUUUACAUGGUCUGAUAGUGAUAGGACAAGGGGGAAUGGCUUUAAACUAAAAGAGGAGAAAUUUUGUUUGGAUGUUAGAAAGAAAUUUUUUACUCAAAAGGUGGUGGGGUGGUGAAGAACACACUGCCUAGAGAGGUGGUGGAUGCCCCAUCUCCGUAGGGACUCAAGGCCAGAUUGGAUGGAAUCCUGAGCAGCCUUAUGUAGAGGUUGACAACACUGUCCAUGGUAGAGGAGUUGGAAUUAGAUGACCUUCUAUUAUGAGAAUGCCUGCAACCUCAGUUGGUGUUUUGAUAACAGUGAAGAACAUAGUAUAAACUAUGAGUCUGAAGAGUCCUUUCCCAUUGGAUGAUUCCUGAAAUAUCUCAAAUCUGUGAAAUACAUUUUAUUAUGCCGGAGUUCUCGGAGCUUUUGAAAGAUAACGAUAACUCCUCUAAAAAAAAAAAGAAAGAAAAAAGGUACAUAUAGAAACAAAUAAAAUAUAUGCUCAAAUAUUGAUCAUUAAGUAUCAGCAUUAGUUCCCAUCUCAUUCAUUUUUUGAGGAUGUGAAAGAUCAGGUGGGGAUAUUUCAAAGUCUUUCUGCACCAUCCUAAAAAGUGAUAUCUGGAUUUUUUUUUAAAUUUACUUUCCAUUUGAUUUCACUCCAAAAUAUUGCUACUAAAGCCAGAAUUUUAAGAACAGGGAGAUGAAUGAUAAAUGAGAGUCUGUGGGAGGGAGGGAUGGAGUAUUUCCUUGUGCUGCAGUUCUGAAGAUGGUGCAUCUCAGACCAGUUAUACUAAGCCUUAAAAAGAGCUUGGUAUAUGAGACGAUUAAGAGAUUUGCCUCCUUUUGAUUUUUAAUCUUCAGAAAACAAAAUUGAUCCCUAAUGAAAAUUGUCACUUUCUUUUUUCCAGAAUACAUUAAGUUUCUGUAACACCUUGCAGUGCCAAGGCUUCUCAUUUUGCCUCACUGCUCUUAAAAAGUCCAUUCAUGUGGGCUAGCAGAAGCCUUUAUUAUAUUUCACUGCUAAUCUAUUCUUCAGUUAAUAAAACCAUAGGUGGUAAUCCACAGUGUUUGUGUCCCAUUUCUGUGUACAAUAUGUGUGUAACUGUACUGGUGCACAGAAUAGUCAAUGGACAUUAACUAUGUUAAACAAGAAGCAUUGUACCCUCAAGCAUGAACCACAGAUUCCCACAGAAAUUCUCUAAAUCAAGUGUUGAGUAGAUUUUUGUCUUCCUGGCUAUUUUGUUAUCUCUGUUGUAAGACUCUUGGUUUUUUGGCGGUUCUGAACAGAUAUUGUGAUAGUCACCAUAGUAAACAGCUCUCCUAUUGCAUUUUGUACUAGGAUAUUGAACAUUUUCCUGAGCAAAGUGCAAUGUGAUGCCAAGUAUUUCCAUCCCCUGCAGCUUCUUACAAAGGGAACCAGUCCACAGCUUGCUAAUAGAGAUGGAGGAGCUCUUCCUUGUAAGCUUUCAAAAUAAUCCAUUUUAAAGGACUGUUUCAGCAUAAUGAAUGCUUGGUGACUUGAAAUCCCAGUGGGUUUUGAAGAAACAAAUACUGUACUGUACAUGCAGAAUCUGUAAAAUUUGAGCCUUGCACUUGAAGUAAUGUAGAUGUAUCCUAGCAGUGAUAAUAACAGCCUUUUCAGGUAUAGAAGAACUAAUUUGUAGUUAUAAAUAAGAAACCAGAAUAAUUUGUAAUUUACUAUUUCAUAACCUUUUAUACAUUUGUAAUAAUUUAAUCUAUCAAACAUAUCCACUCCAUAGGUACAGAUGUAUGAUGUACAUAGAAGGAAAAUAACAAACAAAUGUUCAUGAUUAAAGAAGCCUUAUGCUUCUCUGUUUAUGGUGUUUAAAGACUGAAACUGUGAUUGAAGUUUACUGGCUCUGUGUGCGGCUCUUAUUUUUUUUCUCUUUCUCUUUGUUAGGUUAAUUCAGCUUCAAUAACAAGCCUUUUCUGUCCUGCUACCAAAUACCUCCAAAUGUACAGCAAGGGAAAGUGGCUUUUCAAAUUAAGGGGAACAGUGAACCAAAACAAGAACACAAUAAAAGAAAGAGCAGGGUGAUACAUGUAAAUGAUGUACUCACUGGGAACUAACAGUGGUAGCUUGCAGUGAAGGGAUUUAGCUUUCUUGUUAAUUCAGCUGAUAGGGAGACAGGCAUAUUUGGGAAGAGGCUUGGCCAGGUUCCUUUACUUCACAAAAGCUUCAGUGUUUACAUCAUCAGGGGCUUUGGGAUUCUUUAAAAACUUGUUAGUUUGGUAAAAAUGUGCAGCUAGUUUGGUAAAAAGGAAAAUCACAUUUACAUGAUGAACAUAAUCUGUCUCCAUUGAUAUUCAUACUUUAAUAACAAACACAUAUCAGAUGAAGUCUCUUGAGUAUUUUAAUUUUAGCAGAAUAAGGAGUAAACUUCUUUCUGUAACUCUGCUAUGUCUUACAUAGUUCCUUUAGGAGUCCAGCAAUGCUUUUUUUUAGAGUAAAAAAGCCUGACCAAUGGGGGAUGCAUUUGUUGGCCUGCUUACUGUAUGCAAGUUUCUUCUGCAUAGUAACUGCUUAUGCUACCCUACUGGAGAGGGAUUAAGAUGUUUUAUAUUCUGUGUGUGCAUUGGAGAGGAUGUGUUUUACCUAAUCUUGUUUAGCCACCAUGCAGACAGCUUUGAGGAUUUUUAUUUUUUUUAUCCCAGUAUCCUUUAAAACCUGCAGAUCUUUGGAAAGGGAAGGUAUUUCCAUUUCUUUCGUUUGCUUUUCAAAAGUGCAGAGCUUGGCCUUUAUCUUGAGGACCAAAGAAGAAAAUACUAAGCAUGGCACUCCUGCCUACAGGCUUGGUACUUGCUAAAUGUUUUGGCCAAUUAAGUGUAGGUGGGAAAGACUGAACUGCUCUCAGAAAUUUGUCUUCAUUUUGUGUAUGAAAGAAAAAUAAUAUGUUCUAAAGCUCUUUGAUGAUAAUUGGAUAUAAUAUAGGUCUACAGAUCCAAUGUUCUCCAAAGUAUAGCAGAUGCUCAUUGUCUUCAAACAGCCACAUCUGGCUUCUUUUUCAAAGCAGUGUCUCAGUGUUGAAGGAUUGAUUCUUUCUUUUUUUUUGCUGGUUACUGUGUGCAUGCAGAAGUAGAAAGAGGGGAAAGAAAGAAAGUAAAAUGAUCACCUGAAAUGGUGGGAUUUCUUUUGGAAGUGGAAAUUUUUUGCCCAAGUCUAAAAUCUUUUAAAAGUCUUCAAAUACACCUCAACUACUUGAGCAAAGGAGGAAUUGCAAGAAUGCCCAAAGAGUUUGUAGUGCUUGAGAGAUAUUAAGGUAAAAAGUAAAGAACUUGAAAGUUUGGAAGUAUGCUAGAGGGGUACAGAUGCACUAGGAAAGACUACACGAUUUUUAGAAUACAAGAAAAAAUAACUAGUUUGUUUCUUAUCUAUCCUAUGUUGCCACUACCACAGUAGCAUUUUUAUUAUCCUGAUACUAGAUUCUCAUAUUUGUAUUCCUCCUUUGGGAUUUGGUUCUGUACUUUUGCAGUCCUUACACCAAACAUGCUGCCAAUCUUUGGGAGACAUGCAUCUAUAUACACACAACUUCAUAUGUUUAUAACAAAAAUAAUUCAUUUUUUAAUUACAGCGUAGUAAGGCCGUAAGUGAAUGUGGCCUUGUGACCAAGGCUCUAGGCAAAUGACUAGGCCACUGACAGUUGCAUGAUCUGAGCUUAGUCUACGUGGACAAGAUAGGCAAAACUACUGGACAUGAGAACAUACUGGACAUGACAUUCUUGUUCAAGGUGGUUUAUCAGCAAGUGGUGCAUCCUCUGGGGAAUGUUUACAUACUAGCAAUUCUGAAAUGGAAGAAAUUCAUAACUUGUUUUCAAAGGAUAUUUUUUUGUUUAGCAGAAUCCUAAAUUGAAGAGAAAGGCCUCAUCUUAUGUCCUGAAGUCUGUAACUUCUCAGGGAUUUUCUUUCUGCCUUAUUAGAUGUAUAAUGGAAACUCAGCUGCUAUUCUAGUUUGAGAUUUAACCUGAUAGAAAAGCAGUGAGCUGAAAUGUUCAGUAGAGGCAAAUACAAAGUGCUGAAAACAAGGAAAAGCACUGAUUGAAAAACACUGGAUUACAUGUAUUGUGCUGAGAAACCUCCUUUCAACAUCUAUAUCUCGAAUAUGGAGCAGUCUUUAGGGACAUCUACACAAAGUAAGAAGAAGUUACAUAAGCUUCAUAGGGAUUGCAAGUGGAAGUUCUGAGCAACACAAAUUUGAAACUGGCCAUAAAUCUUGCAGGAUGGAAAAUCCAAGCAAAAUUUCCAGAACAUUCUUCUUCCACUUAGGGAAAAAAUUACCCGUUGUUUAUGUUCAGCGUUUCUCUGAAAAUACCAAGAUUUUCAUCAAAAUACGUAAUUGUAACUAAGAUUUAACAGCAAAUAUUACAAUUAAGGAUUUCAUAAAAUACCCUACAGGAAGCUCAUCCGGAAUGCAAAUAAUUUUACAAGUGCUUACCACAGGAUGAGCAGUAAGAAAAGGAAAAGAGUUUGAGGCUGAUACAAAGGCUGUGCUUUACAUGCAGUCAGGCUGUCUCCAGCAAUCAGCUGCUUAGCUGCUGAUAUCUAAGUGCUGGAGAAACCUGCAGUGGGAACCUUCCACCUCGAGGUGCUCCUCCAACAACCUGCUGGGCAGACAGGAAGCUGUGUCUCUAGCCUGCAACUGCCUCAAAGUGCUAUGAAGGAGUCUUCUCAGUUCCCUUUCCUGUGCUGUCUGAAUGCCUGUGGAGCAGGAGAAAACUGAGAUUGAGUAACAACUCUUCCCUUACAUGGGUUGAUAACAAAGAUCAGAAAGAUGGAGAUCAGGGGAGAAAAAUCCUUCCCACUGUAAGAGAAGGGCAAGUUGGAGCCCACAUGAUGACACUGAAUGUGUACAAGUCUAUGGGGCCAGAUGACUUGCAUUCCAGGGUCUUGAAGGAACUGGCUGAUGUGGUUGUCAAGCCACUCUCCAUCAUAUUUGAAAAUUCGUGGCUGUCAGGAGAAGUCCCUGGUAAAUGGAAAAAGGGAAACAUCACUCCCAUAUUCAAGAAAGGGAGAAAGGAAGACCCAGAGAACUUCAGGCUGAUGAGCUUCAUGUCUGUGCUUGGGAGGAUCAUGGAACAGAUCCUUCUGGAAGACAUGUUACGACAUGCAAGACAAGGAGGUGAACUGAGACAGCCACCACAGCUUCAACAAGGGCAGAUCAUGCCUGCCAAGCUGGUGACCUUCUACAAUGAAGUGAUGGCAUCAGUGGACAAAGGAAAGACAAGUCAUCUAGCUGGAUUAGUGCUAGCCUUUUGACAUGGUCCCACACCACAUUCUUAUCUCCAAAUUGUAGAACUAUGGAUUUUAAGAGUGGACUAUUCAGUGGAUAAGGAAUUGUUGGAUGGUUGCAGCUAGAGGGUUGUGGUCAAUGGCUCUGUGUCCAGAUGGAGGCCUCUAAUGAGUGGUGUCCCCCAAGGGCUCAUCUUGGAACUGAUGCUCUUCAACGUCUUUAUCAGUGACAUAGACAGUGAGACUCAGUGUACUCUCGGUCAUUUCUGCCAGUGAGCUGGCACACGAUGAUGCACUCCAUACAAACUUCCUCCACAUGUCCUGCAUGCGCUUGACAUCACAAGGAUCUUGGGAAAACUGCUUAUUGUCCAAAUAGCCAAAAUAAAGCAUCAUACCAGACACUGUGAAGAACAUCAACUGUAUACCAGCUGAAACCAGGAUAUCUACACAGCAUGUAUCUCCUUUUAUUUAAAUACCACAGUGUUACCUCUUUGAAAGAUGAAUGUCUUCUGCACUGUUUGCUUCAAAUUUAAGGUACAUUACACUUAAAUACAUUCUCUGAUCUCGUGUCAGAGUUGAAGUCUUCAGCUGUAUGUGAGAUGGAUCAUUACUGCUUUAGUAUUUGAACAGACUGGAAAUCCUUUCUGAACGAUCCAAAGGUCCCUCCUCAGCCAUCUGGCCAGCAGUCUCCAUUGCAAGCAGAGUUUACAGCUUUGUCCAACUGGCCUUCACUUGCAGGCAAAAGCCUCGAAUGUGAUCUGAAUUCUGUGGGAGAUCCAUCUUUUAAGGAUCGGCGUCACUUGGUGCUGGAAUGUCAACACAAGUAUGACUGUGGUUUCAGCAAUAAUACUGCAAACCUCCUAUAUACACAGAAGCAAGAGGAUGGAAGCACAGGAUUCUUUCCAAACCACGCUCAGGACUUCAGAGCAGAUACAUCAGUUAAUGUUCUUCAGAAGGUUCGACUCUGGUUUCCUAGGAGUAAUGCCAGUGAUGCCAGUGACUUUGUAACACUCUACUUUUACUACAUUAAGACAUACUCCAGAUGAAGAAAAAGUCUUUUCAGAGGAAACCACCCUUUAAACAAUAGAUUAAAGGAUAUUCUUUUUUUUUUUUCUUUCUAUCAUAGUAGCCCAUGUCCUGGUCACCUGCCAGCAACUGAUAAUAUGUUUUGAAUGCCCUAUCAUCAUCACAAACUUUCUCAGAAGCACUUGUCAGCUGAUCAGUCUCCUUUAGUCUCUAGGAAUUCACUUUAUCUUGAUAAAGUAUAGCUUCUAUAUAUCUACAGACAGAAUAAAACACCCUGUAAGCUGA
Long non-coding RNA from Numida meleagris (helmeted guineafowl), 13212 nucleotides. RefSeq lists it as uncharacterized. Lineage: Eukaryota; Metazoa; Chordata; Aves; Galliformes; Numididae. The transcript has 14 exons. The record is from RefSeq and is a predicted model, not a curated record.